UUUGGUUAAGUUAGAAAGGGCGCACGGUGGAUGCCUUGACACUAGGAGUCGAUGAAGGACGGGACUAACGCCGAUAUGCUUCGGGGAGCUGUAAGUAAGCUUUGAUCCGAAGAUUUCCGAAUGGGGAAACCCACCAUACGUAAUGGUAUGGUAUCCUUAUCUGAAUACAUAGGAUAAGGAAGACAGACCCAGGGAACUGAAACAUCUAAGUACCUGGAGGAAGAGAAAGCAAAUGCGAUUUCCUGAGUAGCGGCGAGCGAAACGGAACAUAGCCCAAACCAAGAGGCUUGCCUCUUGGGGUUGUAGGACAUUCUAUACGGAGUUACAAAGGAACGAGGUAGACGAAGCGACCUGGAAAGGUCCGUCGUAGAGGGUAACAACCCCGUAGUCGAAACUUCGUUCUCUCUUGAAUGUAUCCUGAGUACGGCGGAACACGUGAAAUUCCGUCGGAAUCUGGGAGGACCAUCUCCCAAGGCUAAAUACUCCCUAGUGAUCGAUAGUGAACCAGUACCGUGAGGGAAAGGUGAAAAGCACCCCGGAAGGGGAGUGAAAGAGAUCCUGAAACCGUGUGCCUACAAAUAGUCAGAGCCCGUUAACGGGUGAUGGCGUGCCUUUUGUAGAAUGAACCGGCGAGUUACGAUCCCGUGCGAGGUUAAGCUGAAGAGGCGGAGCCGCAGCGAAAGCGAGUCUGAAUAGGGCGUUUAGUACGUGGUCGUAGACCCGAAACCAGGUGAUCUACCCAUGUCCAGGGUGAAGUUCAGGUAACACUGAAUGGAGGCCCGAACCCACGCACGUUGAAAAGUGCGGGGAUGAGGUGUGGGUAGCGGAGAAAUUCCAAUCGAACCUGGAGAUAGCUGGUUCUCCCCGAAAUAGCUUUAGGGCUAGCCUUAAGUGUAAGAGUCUUGGAGGUAGAGCACUGAUUGGACUAGGGGUCCUCAUCGGAUUACCGAAUUCAGUCAAACUCCGAAUGCCAAUGACUUAUCCUUAGGAGUCAGACUGCGAGUGAUAAGAUCCGUAGUCAAAAGGGAAACAGCCCAGACCGCCAGCUAAGGUCCCAAAGUGUGUAUUAAGUGGAAAAGGAUGUGGAGUUGCUUAGACAACUAGGAUGUUGGCUUAGAAGCAGCCACCAUUUAAAGAGUGCGUAAUAGCUCACUAGUCGAGUGACUCUGCGCCGAAAAUGUACCGGGGCUAAAUACACCACCGAAGCUGCGGAUUGAUACCAAUGGUAUCAGUGGUAGGGGAGCGUUCUAAGGACAGUGAAGUCAGACCGUAAGGACUGGUGGAGUGCUUAGAAGUGAGAAUGCCGGUAUGAGUAGCGAAAGACGGGUGAGAAUCCCGUCCACCGAAUGCCUAAGGUUUCCUGAGGAAGGCUCGUCCGCUCAGGGUUAGUCAGGACCUAAGCCGAGGCCGACAGGCGUAGGCGAUGGACAACAGGUUGAUAUUCCUGUACCACCUCUUUAUCGUUUGAGCAAUGGAGGGACGCAGAAGGAUAGAAGAAGCGUGCGAUUGGUUGUGCACGUCCAAGCAGUUAGGCUGAUAAGUAGGCAAAUCCGCUUAUCAUAAAGGCUGAGCUGUGAUGGGGAAGCUCCUUAUGGAGCGAAGUCUUUGAUUCCCCGCUGCCAAGAAAAGCUUCUAGCGAGAUAAAAGGUGCCUGUACCGCAAACCGACACAGGUAGGCGAGGAGAGAAUCCUAAGGUGUGCGAGAGAACUCUGGUUAAGGAACUCGGCAAAAUGACCCCGUAACUUCGGGAGAAGGGGUGCUUUCUUAACGGAAAGCCGCAGUGAAUAGGCCCAAGCGACUGUUUAGCAAAAACACAGCUCUCUGCGAAGCCGUAAGGCGAAGUAUAGGGGGUGACACCUGCCCGGUGCUGGAAGGUUAAGGAGAGGGGUUAGCGUAAGCGAAGCUCUGAACUGAAGCCCCAGUAAACGGCGGCCGUAACUAUAACGGUCCUAAGGUAGCGAAAUUCCUUGUCGGGUAAGUUCCGACCCGCACGAAAGGUGUAACGAUUUGGGCACUGUCUCAACCAGAGACUCGGUGAAAUUAUAGUACCUGUGAAGAUGCAGGUUACCCGCGACAGGACGGAAAGACCCCGUGGAGCUUUACUGUAGCCUGAUAUUGAAUUUUGGUACAGUUUGUACAGGAUAGGCGGGAGCCAUUGAAACCGGAGCGCUAGCUUCGGUGGAGGCGCUGGUGGGAUACCGCCCUGACUGUAUUGAAAUUCUAACCUACGGGUCUUAUCGACCCGGGAGACAGUGUCAGGUGGGCAGUUUGACUGGGGCGGUCGCCUCCUAAAGUGUAACGGAGGCGCCCAAAGGUUCCCUCAGAAUGGUUGGAAAUCAUUCGUAGAGUGCAAAGGCAUAAGGGAGCUUGACUGCGAGACCUACAAGUCGAGCAGGGACGAAAGUCGGGCUUAGUGAUCCGGUGGUUCCGCAUGGAAGGGCCAUCGCUCAACGGAUAAAAGCUACCCCGGGGAUAACAGGCUUAUCUCCCCCAAGAGUCCACAUCGACGGGGAGGUUUGGCACCUCGAUGUCGGCUCAUCGCAUCCUGGGGCUGUAGUCGGUCCCAAGGGUUGGGCUGUUCGCCCAUUAAAGCGGUACGCGAGCUGGGUUCAGAACGUCGUGAGACAGUUCGGUCCCUAUCCGUCGUGGGCGUAGGAAAUUUGAGAGGAGCUGUCCUUAGUACGAGAGGACCGGGAUGGACGCACCGCUGGUGUACCAGUUGUUCUGCCAAGGGCAUAGCUGGGUAGCUAUGUGCGGAAGGGAUAAGUGCUGAAAGCAUCUAAGCAUGAAGCCCCCCUCAAGAUGAGAUUUCCCAUAGCGUAAGCUAGUAAGAUCCCUGAAAGAUGAUCAGGUUGAUAGGUUCGAGGUGGAAGCAUGGUGACAUGUGGAGCUGACGAAUACUAAUAGAUCGAGGAAUUAACUAUACAA
RNAcentral lists this ribosomal RNA (2929 nucleotides) under Bacillus cereus. RNAcentral's name for it is "bacterial LSU rRNA". It matches the Rfam family "Bacterial large subunit ribosomal RNA". The record is from RNAcentral. Lineage: Bacteria; Bacillati; Bacillota; Bacilli; Caryophanales; Bacillaceae.